This 270-nucleotide ribosomal RNA is filed under the name uncultured prokaryote. RNAcentral's name for it is "partial 16S ribosomal RNA". It matches the Rfam family "Bacterial small subunit ribosomal RNA", at positions 505 to 774 of the family's 1533-position model. The record is from RNAcentral.
GUGCCAGCAGCCGCGGUAAUACGGAGGGUGCAAGCGUUAAUCGGAAUUACUGGGCGUAAAGCGCACGCAGGCGGUUGGAUAAGUUAGAUGUGAAAGCCCCGGGCUCAACCUGGGAAUUGCAUUUAAAACUGUCCAGCUAGAGUCUUGUAGAGGGGGGUAGAAUUCCAGGUGUAGCGGUGAAAUGCGUAGAGAUCUGGAGGAAUACCGGUGGCGAAGGCGGCCCCCUGGACAAAGACUGACGCUCAGGUGCGAAAGCGUGGGGAGCAAACA